Molecule: ribosomal RNA, 392 nt
Filed under: uncultured bacterium
Lineage: Bacteria
Description: partial 16S ribosomal RNA
Rfam family: Bacterial small subunit ribosomal RNA
Source: RNAcentral
ACACGUAGGGGCCUGACGUUGUUCGGAAUCGUUGGGCGUAAAGGGCGCGCAGGCGGCCGUCCAAGUCCGGUGUUAAAUGGUCGGGCUCAACCCGAUCAUGCGCUGGAAACUGGGCGGCUUGAGUCCCGUAGGGGAUGCCGGAAUUCCAGGUGUAGGGGUGAAAUCUGUAGAUAUCUGGAAGAACACCGAUGGCGAAGGCAGGCAUCUGGCCGGAGACUGACGCUGAGGCGCGAAGGCGCGGGGAGCGAACAGGUUUAGAUACCCGGGUAGUCCGCGCAGUAAACGAUGCGCACCAGGUGUCGGGCGGCAGCGCCCGGUACCGGAGCUAACGCGAUGAGUGCGCCGCCUGGGGAGUAUGCCCGCAAGGGUGAAACUCAAAUGAAUUGACGGGG